CCGUGGAUCUGUGAGGUCGCCCAGCGCUGGCCUGAGUGGAUGCUGCUUUCGCUGGAAGUAGGAAUCAAUCCUGCGGAGAUUUUGUCCACCCGGGCCAGCCAGGGCUAGCGAAAGCCAGCUUCUCCUGGGUGACAGGUGUCUUUUCAGAGAUGCCCCUCGUCUUCAUCUUGAUAGAAAGACUAGGCGCAAAAUUGUAUGCUUCACCUGGUUUGCACCCUGAAUCAACUUACCUUGGGUUGCUUACAGAAUAUAAGAGAAUCACAACUCUCUCUUGGCCUCCCUUGUCACUACUUGAACAAAUAGUGAAAGACUCAACAUUUGACAAGUAAUACUUUGGCCACCUGAUGAGAAGAACUGACUCAUUUGAAAAGACCCUGAAGCUGGGCAAGAUUGAAGGCAGGAGGAGAAGAAGAUUACAGAGGAUGAGGUGGUUGGAUGGCAUCACUGACUCAAAGGACAUGAGUUUGAGUAAGCUCCAGGAGUUGGUGAUGGACAGGGAAGCCUGGGCGUGCUGCAGUCCAUGGGGUCCCAAAGAGUUGGACAUGACUGAGCAGCUGAACUGAACUGAACUGAUGACAAUGUUCAUAAACUUAAAAAUCAAACACACGAACACCACCACCACUGCCAAAGACAACAAGGCUAUGAUCUGAAGGUUUGUGUCUCCUCCAAAAUUCAUACAUUGAAAUCCUAAUCCUGAAUAUGAUGGUAUUAGGAAGUCAGGCCUUUGGAAGGUGAGGAGGGCUGAUCUAUCAUGAAUGGGAUUAUAAGAGAGGCUCCACACAACUUCCUUACUCCUUUUCAUCGUGAGAUAACACAAUGAGAAGGCACCAUCUAUGAACCAGAAAGCAAGAUCUCACCAGACGCUAAAUCUUUCAGGACCUGGAUCCUGACUUCCCAAUGUCCAUAGCUGUAAGCAAUAAAUUUCUGUUGUUUAUGAGCUACCUGCUCUAUGGGACUUUGUUAUAACAGGCCAAAGGGACUAAAACAAACAGUAGCAACACCAACAAAACAAAAUUCAAAACAGAAAAAUAGGAAUGGAAUUUAUAGUGAUGUUUCCCACAAAAUUUUCCACAAACCUAAUUAUGAAUAACCACUUUUAUGCAUUUUUGAAAUAUUAUUUUCAUAAAAAUUGGGAAUUGAGAAAUUGAGCCCAGUGACAUAAGAGGUGUUGCAAUGCCAAGCCAAAAGUCACAAAAUCCUAGAAAUUCUGGCUAAUGAUGGAUUAUGAGUAGCUUACUAACCUGUUGGGAUUUUAAAGCAUGGCUUCCUCUGGAGAGUAAACUGACCAGACCAUUAAUAAAAUG
Dama dama (fallow deer) is the source of this 1304-nucleotide long non-coding RNA. RefSeq lists it as uncharacterized. The record is from RefSeq and is a predicted model, not a curated record. NCBI's taxonomy places the organism in Eukaryota, Metazoa, Chordata, Mammalia, Artiodactyla, Cervidae. The transcript has 3 exons.